This 1862-nucleotide long non-coding RNA is filed under the name Homo sapiens (human). RNAcentral's name for it is "HSALNT0353670". Lineage: Eukaryota; Metazoa; Chordata; Mammalia; Primates; Hominidae. The record is from RNAcentral.
AAAAAAAAAAAAAAAGAGAAAAAAAGUGUUAUGGAGAGAAGAAGCUGCUGGAGGGCGUUGAAUUUGUACGCCCCGUUAUACCUACAUUAUUGGGCAAUUUAGCAAUUACUGGAAAAGCUGAAUCAUGCUUCUCCUACUCAGUGCAAUUGCAUUCCCAGGCAUAGGUCAGAGAACCCCUCAGAUAAGGGCGCAAGGAAACCAUAAGGGGAAUGUUCAUAACAGCUUUGGAAUUUGCAAAAACUGCAAGUAACCCAAAUGUUCACCCACAGAACAGUGGGAAAAAACUUGUGAUAUAUUUAUUGACUGGAGCCACAUGUUCAAACAUAGAUCUCACAGCUUAGCAUUGAGCAGGAAAUACAAGUUGUAGGAGGCUUGAUAUUUAUGUAAAGGUUAAACCUAUGCAAGGAAAUCUUGCGUACUGCUCUGGGAUACAUACUGUAGGGAAGUACUAUAUUAAUAUAAACUCAGGAUUGUGGGUGCCAUUGGAGGGGGGCUCGAGAAAAGAAUAAGCCUUUCAUUUGGCCUGGUGUGUUCAUUCACUUUUUUGGAAUGCAUCUGAAAUAUUACAUACCAAAUUAAAAUACUGUGUUUCCAAACCUAUAAAACCGAUGGCAACUUUCAAAUAAUUGGAUGUUAGAAAUGGAACUCUCAAAAGAUUUCCUCCUCCCCACGAAUGUACCCUUUGCCUAGGAUGGGAGGCUGUCACCUGGAGUAGCAACCCAAGGCCCUCGACCGCAGGGGUCCUAGCAAGCCUUGCCUUUGUGCAUCUGCUCUGGGAGCCAGAGAAGUUGAAAGCGGCCUCACUCGGGAUUUUUGAAGAGGUUGUAUUUCCCGACAGUCCUGGAUAAAAGACACGGCAGGCAGUCUGACUGUCAGGGGAGUCCCUUCUGGGUCUGUAUUUAUAUAUCCCUAGGAAUCCUCUCCUGCGGGCUCUUAAAUGGUAAGUAGUGGGUUCGUGACCUGUGGUGAGAAGAAAGAUGCCCCAGCAGGUAACGUUAUCUUUUCCUUUCAUCUGUGAAUCUCCCUGCUGCAGGCAAAGCACCCCUGAGUCCUGCAAUUACGGCCUUCCCACCCCCAAGCUGAAAAACCUGAUUUUCUUCAGGAGAAGAGAAACCUCAUCCCGGGAGCGGAAUUUGUGAAGAAAAUGUGAGUGGGAAACAUGAAGAGUGAUGAAAUGAACAAGUUGAGUGACUCCCACCCUGUUGAAGAGAUUGAACUUCAUCCCCAGUUCCUGUGAAGCUUUCUGGAUCUCGUCUUCCAAGAUGGGCUCAAGUUCCCUGGUGUGAAGAGAAGACAAAAUGCUGCCCUCCGCACCUCUUUCAGGAAAUCCUCCUGUAUUAUAUUUUGAAUGCAGCUCCCUCCACCAUCUGGGAUGGAGUCAUUGCUUUACAGCAGUCAUAGCUGCUGUCAUGAAAGAUGAAGCUGGUCUCCAGGACACUAGGAGGUUGCAAAGAGCCACAUGAGUUUAUUGGAUAUGACAGAAUUUCUCCAAGUGGGGAAGCUAAAUUAAGCAAAUGGUAAGUAUACAUUUUGUAAAAUGAUAAAACUCUCAUUAGUUGUGGUUGGUUCAGUUGUCUAUUUAGAAAAUGCAAGGGACUCAACUGAAAAUGUUAGCACCAAUACAGAGAUGUAGUAUGUUGGCUGGAGGAUUCAGGACCAACUUAGAAACAUCAGUGGCAUUUUUAUAUAUCUGUAACCAUAAAAAUAAGUAAUAGAAAAAAAACCAGUAGCAGCAAAGCCAUUCAGAUACCCAGGAAUAACCUUAGUGAGAAAGGCACAACACUCCUGAGACUUCACUGAAAAAUUUGAAAGAAGAUUAGACUAACUGGAGAAGAAAACCCUAUUGUCUUUUUUUUUUUUUU